This 15695-nucleotide long non-coding RNA is filed under the name Solanum tuberosum (potato). RNAcentral's name for it is "long non-coding RNA (STUB_LNC009476)". The record is from RNAcentral. Lineage: Eukaryota; Viridiplantae; Streptophyta; Magnoliopsida; Solanales; Solanaceae.
AAGUAUCAUGUGUAUAUUACUUCCCUUGCUCAAAUGAUACACCUUUUGAAGGCCUGGAGAUCAAAGGCGGUGAACAGAUAAGAGUAGAGGAUGGCACUGGCGAAGGUAUAGUAAAGAAGAUAGGAGUACAUCUGUUAUAUUUAGACCAACAUGGCAAUGUUACUUCUUUCCCGGCAAAAAAGGUAGUGGAAGAAAAGAAGACAAAAAGAAAAAGAAAAAGAAAAAGAAAAAGAAAAAUGAUGUUUGGUGGCAAUCGUGGACGACUAUUGGUGUUCCCCAUUUCCAGAAAAGCUUCAGCAAGGCAUAAAAGAGCAAAGUUCUGAUAGUUUUCCUUUGGAUAAAGCUUGGGAAUGAGUGAUGACUGAAUCGACUUUUUUCCAUUUGUAUACUGCUAGUUUCUUGAACUGCACUAAACCUUAGUUAAAAGAAUUGAAUAUGUAUAGUGAAUAUAGUUAUCAAAUUUUGUUUGAUUUAUGUAAUCAACUUUUUCCAUUUGUAUACUGCUAGUUUCUUGAACUGCACUAAACCUUAGUUAAAAGAAUUGAAUAUGUAUAGUGAAUAUAGUUAUCAAAUUUUGUUUGAUUUAUGUAAUCAACUUUUUCCAUUUGUAUACUGCUAGUUUCUUGAACUGCACUAAACCUUAGUUAAAAGAAUUGAAUAUGUAUAGUGAAUAUAGUUAUCAAAUUUUGUUUGAUUUAUGUAAUCAACUUUUUCCAUUUGUAUACUGCUAGUUUCUUGAACUGCACUAAACCUUAGUUAAAAGAAUUGAAUAUGUAUAGUGAAUAUAGUUAUCAAAUUUUGUUUGAUUUAUGUAAUCAACUUUUUCCAUUUGUAUACUGCUAGUUUCUUACUCAUGGUCUUUUGAGAUUCGCUUUGCUAGCUUUCACAUUACACCUAAUUAUUUUCUGUCCUAACAUUAUGAUCAUAAUAUUUAAUUUCUACUCCCUUUUUUCCUGAAAAAAUACUAUAAGAAAAUGAAGUUGGAGCAGAAGAAAUUGUAUAAUAAAUAAUUUGGGACUUACUCUCUUAUAUGUGGUGCUGGGGGAGUGCCUGUUCUCAUUCUGUGAAAUGUGCACAAUUUUUUGCAGACGUUUAAUUAUAUGUGAUAUUUGAUAAAAAAAAGAAAAAUUUGGAAGUUGAAGUUGUGUUUAGAAUUUGGUGGAUAUGUAGAAGUUGCGAGCGGAAACAACUCACUUAAAAAGCUGGUCAAAAUUACGGUAUCAAAAUUAUGUUAUGUUGAGUAUAACAUAAAAUUAUAACGAUUUGUUAUGAUUUGUGUAUCGAAUCUGAAAUUAUACUCACAAAUAUUUCAUAUAGUUUAAUAAUAGAACUACAUCCGUACAAGUAAGGAACUAGUCAAGAUAUGGAUAAAGUUGCUCAGUCUUUCUUGUUCUAGAUUGUCACGUUUCUUGCUCCUUAAAAGUAAAGGAAGAUUAUCGAUAAGAGUUAUAGUGGAGUGGUAGGUACUUAUUUAUUUUUAAUCAGAGAUUUUGAGUUUGUGUUUUUUGGGUAUGACUGGAGUGUCUUUGUUGGGAGCGUUUUACCCCUAAAUGUGGGACUUUUCGACACAAAUUUAAAUUUAAUCGAACUCUAAUGUAAAUACCUAACACAGGAUGGAAAAUCCAAAAAGAAAAAAUGAAAAGAAAAAAAGUAAAGGAAUAUUGUUAUUACUCCUCAAAGUUCAAAAUUGUAAUACUCCAUCUUAAUCCCUUUAAAAUUUUACAAGCAGACUUUGAGAAAAUUGGUGUCUAACUGUGUAUGCAAUUUUACUUCUAUUUUUAUAUAAGUAGAGAAGUUAUUUCAAUAGAUAUUUGCUUCCAUUUAAGCAUAUUAAAAUCGAAUAUAAUAAUAACGCAAUUAUACUGAAUAUAAUGGAGAAGAGUAUUGUAACGAUUAAAAUGCAAAUGUAUUUUUCCCAAUUUAGGUUUUGUGCAUAGAAAAUAAGGGUCCUUCUCUUUGGUCAGCUAUUUCAGUCCAUUAGUGGAAAUUCCACUAAAAGUUAACAAAUAUUUAUCAACAACUAAGGAGUAGUAUCUAUCUUUAAUUUCUAGGACAUGACGUUAUUUAAUUAAAAUUCAUUUUCACUUAAUUUUUUUAAGUUAAACAAUUCUUCAUUUUUUGGCAAAGUUUGUCAAUAAAUUAAUUCUAGGAUAUCUUCGAAUUCUUUGACUAAUACUCUAGUCAACAAACUUAAAAACAAAUAUCCAAUUUUCAUUCAAGCUACUUUUGUUAACAAUCUUAAGACUAUAUAUUCAAAGCAAUUUUGAUGUAUGGCACAAAGUGAAUCCACAUAGAGGUUAAAUAAAUACCUAUUACAUAAACGUGCUUUGUAAUUUGACAUUAGUUGAUAUUUAAGGCCUACUAACUUUGGACGUAUAUAAAUAAAUACUUAAAUUUAUAUAAAAUUGAAUAAGGGAAAAUUAGCAAUCUAGUCAAAAAUCCUAACAUAAUUAUUAAAAACAUCUAUAGUUUAUAAAUAUUAGUAAAAAUGUCAAAAUGUCAAUAUUUUAGAAAACAUUGUGUAUCCUAAUUUAGUUCCUAUUUUACCUCACCUUAAUUAAAGUUUUCCAACACAUUCUCUCUCAUAUGUUUUUAAAAAAAAAAAUAUUUUCUCUUUUCCUAUUCUUCUUCAUAUUUCAACUCCCGCUUCUCUCUCUUCCGUUCUUUCGAAUUUUUUUUCCAGAAAUUGAAAAAUAUAUCUCUAAAGAUAUUCACAACAAUUCCUUAGAUUAAGGUAUGCAUCUUUAUCCAACUUUUAGGUUUGUUUACUAAUUUUAUUUUUGUUUAAAUCUUUCAAAAUUUUUGUUUGACCAAUUUCAUUUAGGGUUUGAAAACCUCAAAAUCACUCUCUAAUUGCCGUAGCUAAGAGGAUUACAAGAGGUAUCCAACUAAAUCAACAAUUUUCUAGCGACUUUUCAUCCUUUAUUGAUUAUAUUACCAUUACAAUAUUUACAUGUUCAGUUGAAGUUGUUAAAAUCAUAAAAAUCAUGAUUUUCUAUUAGUCUCAAGUAUCUAUAACAAUUUUCUUUUGUAUUCAAAAUUCAUUAAGUAUGUGUAUUGAUAUAAAAUAAUAUUGCCAUUGUCUAUGGAUAUUGUGGGUUUGUUAGUAUAGAUAUUGUAUUCCUUAUUUUUCUUGUAUUUGUGGACAUUCUGUUAGUUUUGAUAAUAUACCCACAUACUUGGACUCAUCAUAUCUUUGUAUCCUUUUCUAGUUGUGGACAUUGUAAUAGUGUUAAUUGUAUCCAAUCAAUUAAAGAUACAUAUUUACUUUAUAUAGUUGUAUUCAUUUUUUAAGAAAUAGUGAUGCUAUUUCAGAUUGUAUUCAUGUUUUAUUAUUUGAUGGUUUUGUAUUCAUUAUGUUAUAUCUGUUGUAUGUAUUUUGUGUGCAGUAUAGUUUGUUUUGUGAUAAAACAUGUUUCGGUCAUUAUAUGAGAAUCAAGUAUUCGUUAACUGUUGAAUCAUUAAUUUGUUUGGAAGUUUGGACAUGAAAGUUUUUUAAAUUUUCCGGGUAAUUAUAAUUUUUUGGAUGACGAGACAACAUGAAAGUUUUUAAAAUUUCUCGGGUAAUUAUAAUUUUUUUGAAUGAUGAGACAGAGUUUUACUAAUGCACAAGUGAAUACGGAUUCAGAUUUGGAUUUGGUGAACAAAAAAUCAGAAAAAAGGAACAAGAAGAAGAAAGAGAGAAUGAGAGAAGAAUGUUGCAAAAAUUGUAUUCUAUAUUAAUUUUUGUUUGUCUAAUUGUUUUUUUUUACUCAACAUUUGUAUUUUUAUUAAGAACAUUGUAUUUCUUUUUUAGUUUGUAGUCAUUUCAAUAGGAAUGCCAAAUGGAUUUGUAUUUCUUAAGCAUUGAUGUAUCCUAUUUCUUUCACAGUCAAUUUGUAUUUUUUUUAGAAUAUUGUAUUCUUCCUCAAAAGAUUGUAUUAUUUCAACUAUGUAUGCUAUUUUAUUCCAGAAUCUUGUAUUCUUUCUUAAAUUGUAUUCAUAUGUAAUAAUUAGAUUAUAUUGAGAUGCAAUCAAUAAUAUUUUUAUAAUACAAAUAAAAGAAAAAAUAUUUGACAGUCAUGUAAUACAAUUUUGAUCACUGGAUACAAUUUUUAGUUUUCACUAUUACAUAACUCAAUGGAGGAUCAUCAAUGGAGAAUUGAAAGUCGUUAAUGGAUGAUGAGGAAGAUGAGAGAAUUUGUGCCUAUUUUAGUCUCCUAAUCUGUAAAGUAAGUAAUAAUAGAUUUUCAGCAUUAUUUACUUAAUUUGAAAGAUUCUCUCCCAUGAUUUUCUCUAAUUUGUUAUUUGCUUAGUUGUAUUUUAUUGAGUUAAAUAAAUAAAAAAAAAAAUACAUAAAUCAACAAUAUAACAAAAUAAAAUAUUGACAUUUUAAAUAAAUAUUGAAAGUGUGGCUAAUGGGUUCUCUUAAAUGCUAAAAUAUUGACAUUUUGAAAAUUUUCCCAUUGAAUAAAUAGAUACAUACUGUAAGCGUCUAAAGUUUCAAUCCUGAAAUACAGUAAACAGGAAAAGAAAAAUAGCAAGCAAACAAUAAUAUUUGUAUUUGAAUUAAUGUGAAGGUUACAAUCUUUAUAAAAUCUCUUAAAAAGAUAUGUAAUCCCUUGAUUCUUCUCUCCACAGAUGUUCUUGAUUUGGCGGAAUACUUGCGGCUCAAUACUUGGAGCGAAGACUUCUUUGUAUGCGGAAGACUUGCAGAUCACCAAUGAAGAGCAACUAUGUAUUUCUGUGUGUAUGUAUGUGUGUAUCCCUUCGAACAAAUGACAUAAGUGGUCCCUAAACUAUCCUAGUAGGUUUAAAAUAGUCCUUUAACUAUACAGUUGACGGAUAUGAUCCUUUAACUAUCCACCUUUUGUCAAGUUUGGUUUCCAUCCAAUUGCGGCACCAGAACACCCAAAAAAAUCCAGCAAAAAACUGCAUAAUCAGCACCAAACUAUACAUAACACAUCACUAGACAACAACAUCAAACUGCUGCAUCAGACUACCAAAAAUCAGCACCAAACUGCACAAAACACAGCUCCAAAAAUGUUACCAAACAUAUUUCAUGAAAUAGGCUCCAUAAAUUAAUAACAUUCAUCCUCAAAUGAACACGGUAAGAUGCAGAUUAUCGGGCACAAUCACUAAAUUAACAAUUCCAUUUUUAUUAGCAACUAAUCCAUUUAUAGUAUCAUCAUGUCCCUUAAUUGACUCCAAACACUUCUAAUUAGUAAAUAUGUAUUGAGCAAGUUAAGCUUAACAAUAUUAACUUUGCUCAAUCACUUGAAUAAAACGCAAGAAAUUUAAAUUCUCAUUACGCGAGUCUAUUCUCCUUCAGGGCAUUUUUUUUUACUCCCCAUGUAGUUUUCGAGAAAACCUUACUAUAAUUUGAUUUCUAUGAGAUUUCCAUAACUCGACUUCUUUAAAAAAAAAUCAUAAUUUGAUUCUUAUGAAAAUUUGCCAUAAUUUUGUUUCUAUGGAAUUUCCAUAAUUUGAUUCCCAUGGAAAAUUUCCAUAAUUUAAUUCCUAUGAAAACUUACCAUAAUUUCCAUAAUUUGUAGGAACUAAACUUUCCAUAAUUUGUAGGAAUCAAAUUGAUGUCUUCAUAUUUUGAAAUCUAUAUGUACCCACAUUCACCCGGUGAUUGUAUAUCGCAUUGCCGCAUCAUCGAGUUCAAUUGAGACCUUCUCUCUCAAGAAAAUUCUUUUCCAACUCUGAUUUUCGUCACCCUUGUUUUUCAGCUCAGCGCGACUUUGGUAGAAAAUUCAUAUCUCAUUGUAGGGAUAUUGAAAUUGUGAUCCGUUUGAUUUUCCAGAAAAUAGACUCAUAGAGCUACAACAUAUCCGAAAAUCACGAUCAGACAACUCUCGAAUUUACUCAGGUGAUUUUUUUGAAUUCAGCCUAAAAUUCUGAUAAACUGAACGCAUCAGCUUUGUGCAACUUCGCGGAAAAAUUCAUAUCUCGACGUAGGAAUAACGAAAUCACAAACGGUUUGCGGUGUUAGAAAGUAAAUUCAUAGGGCUACAUCAUAUACGAAAACCACAAUUAGAUUGCAUCUGUGUUGAUUCAGUUUUCUAUUUGAAAUCAGCCUUUCACCAACCGUAAUUUUUUUUUGAGGUUACCACCUUUACUUUGGACAUGUUCAUACAAAUCUGAACUUAUUCUUUUGUUUAAUUUUUUUUUUCAGAUUUUUGAUAGAGAAAUACGACUUUGAUCCCGCAACAUGAUGCACUUCCGCGACCGAGAUUCGCCGCAUCCUCUUCUUGAAAUAGUGGGCGACGACCAACAAAAUCCAAAUGUCAAAGUUCUACUUUUGGAGGUUCAACCUCCUGCUAUCAGCGUCUUUCUCCCUUGUUAUUGGGGCAUAUGAUGAAUCUCUUCUCCUUAAGGAAUGGUCAAAAAUGGAUACCAAAGACGUUAUGAGAAACUUCUCGAGCAAGGCUACUAGCAUGAGGUUCCUUUACUGAAAUCCGCGGUUCAUCAUGACGCAACAUCUUCCAAAUCUUCUCAUUCUGAUGGAAGUUUCAACAAUUGGCGUGUUCCCUCUUCUAACUUUGGCAAUGCUUGCUACACACCUAGCUACUGGGAAUGGGUAGAGGACAGCUGCCCCGCCACAAGGAGAUUUUGGAGCUCAUCAAGGUCUAUGACGCUGUAUAUACUUCUUUGUUCACGUACGACUAUGACGACAAUGUACUCCAUGCUUUUUGUGAACUUUGGCGCCCAUCUACCAAUACGCUUUCUACUUUCGUUGGAGAGAUGUCCAUAUCACUUUGGGACUUACAAGCCAUUGGAGGUAUCCCCGUACAAGGGCACUUUUAUGACGAAGUCGUUCCCUCGGCGAAAGAAUUGACACAGACGGAUACUCAAAAAGAAUUGCUUCUUCCCCAAAGUUGUCGAUAUUUGUUUUCGGCCUUCUACAUAUUAGCGAAAGAUGAUCUCCAGGAGGUGUCCGUCCAUGAUUGGGUGAAGUUUUGGUUUAGAGGACCUAAUAACUAUGCCGAGCCUCCGCAAAAGGUGUCAAAGGUAUGAGCCACAAAGCCAAGAUUAAACCACAAUCCUUCUGGACAUAUUGAUUCNNNNNNNNNNNNNNNNNNNNNNNNNNNNNNNNNNNNNNNNNNNNNNNNNNNNNNNNNNNNNNNNNNNNNNNNNNNNNNNACUGACGAGGAGAAUGCCCCCUUUGUCGAGUUAGAUGUGGAAGAAUCACUUAGAGAUGAGACUAACUUGGCAGCCUUCUUUGCUUGUUGGCUUUGCAAAUUUGUGCUUCUGAAUAAGAAAGUCAACUAUGUGCGCGCUAGUGUUUUUAAAGUUGGGAGCUUGAUGGCUCAUGGAAAGAAAUUCUCCUUAGCGGUCCCAGUUCUUGCAAGCAUAUAUCGCGGCCUGAAAGAAAUCUCUACUUCUUUAAACUCGAGUGUGGCAAUUAUAAUUUUCCCCAUACACUAUGUAUAUGGUUGGCUUGGGGAAUACUUUGGGACUCAUCAUCGUGCCAAUCGUUCACAUCGAUCGAUACCUCUUUGCAAAAUUUCUGGCGAGAAGAUGGCCAAGUGUUUUAAUUUUACUGACGCCCAAAAGUUAUUUCAACAGGAUGAUGCCCGUCGUCUCCAUCAUUUAGCAAUGCUGCAAGGGAGGGAUUUGCACCUUACUGAUAAUGGCAAGCUUUCAAAUUCGUGGAAUGAAUAUAUCAUAAACCUUCGUUCAAGCUAUGUAACCCUUAGGCAUGAUUCAAAUUUCAUCGUGGAGUCCUACAGCCCUACCAGCUUUAGUCGACAAUUCGAUUUUUGUCAAGAUGUUCCCGGAGAUCUUAUGGAGCGUCCUUACGAUGGUACAUUAUUAACAUUGGUGCAACUUUGGAUUCCUCUUUUCGACUUAAUACUUUUUCUAAAGUCAUGAUUCCAACGUGCCCAUUAGAGGGUGCUCCUUUAAUGACCCGCGAGUAUGUAGACUGGUGGCCAUCCCAAAGGCUGAAUACUUCCCAAGGAAACCUCCGCAUCAUUUUGAAGAAGACGAAGCAAGACUCUACAUCCAUUUCAUCUAAAGGGGCUUCUGAUCAAUCAAAGGAAAAGUCACAUCCUUCUUCCAAAUCUCAAGUGAAGUCAAAUGAUACUCUGCAAGUCGCUAAGACCUCAUCCAAGUCUAAAACCUCAAAAGAUAAGGAUGUGCCUGCGAAAUCAAAAUUGAGGCGCCUUACAGUAGCCUCAAAGGCGGCUUCACCUGCUCCUAAAGUUGGCCAUGGUUCUUUUGGAACAAAUGAACUUCAUGUAUCAUCAGACAAUGGUAAUGACCAAACGUCAAACCUUGAGAUGCCUUGUGAUGAAAUUUCUCAUUUGUAUGUUUUACCAGAUGGUGUUGGACGACCCAAUGCAUCUCCCAGUCCAACGGAUCGUCAUUGGAAUCGUCCAAAAAGAAAGGCACAAGAGCUAGAUGAUGUUUGUUGUGGUAUUGAUAUUUUAGAUAUAAUUGUCAUUGAUGAUAACGACUUUGUUGAUGAGGAUUCGAACUCGGCCUCGUUAUUUGAAUUGGCAAAACAAGUAAGGCCCCCAUCUCUUUUUUUUUCAAAGUUUUGAAUCUGAUCAUCUUUUUGUUCUUACUUUUUUUUUUAGUUGGACCUUCAAGAACUAUAUGGUGGCGACCUUAACAAUGGCGCGGUUGCAGAUUUCACAGUAGAUCUUAAUGAUCUUGAUGCGGCUGCAAAAGACUUUCAUUCUUCCAUUAAUGAUGAUCAGCUUCAUUGGAAGUAGUUCCACCAAGAAAGUCACAUUCUAAUGAUGUGAUGCCUUUAUUGGAAGUAGUUCCGCCAAGAAAGUCACCAAGUAGGCCAUUUGCGACCUGGUGCUCCUACUUUAGAGCCACAAGAAACCAUUUACCGCGCCAAAUCAACCUUUGUUUCUGAGAUGUGGGGCGCAUUGUGUGGAUGGAUUACACAAUUUUCCUUAGGUUCUUCAUAUGGCUUUACAGAAUUGGAGUCAAGUAUUGCUUCAACUCUUGAGGAGAUUAGAAAAGUAAAUAUUAUUGAUGUUUCUUCUUUAGAGGAUCAUGUCGAGAAUUUCUUCAAGUCGUACGCAGAGUAUGAUAGUUUAAGAUCAUCAAAGAUGACUAAAGAAUCACACGAAAAGGCCCUCUCUGAUGUACAACGCCGGCUCGAUGGUGCAAAGCUAGCAUAUGAAAAGUUGAAUGGAUCCAUGGAUAAACUUCAAGCAACUCUAGCAGAUGUGGAGAAAGACUUAAAAGCCUUGACUUCCAAGAAAAAGAAGGUCAGAAGAAUCAAAAUGGGUUACAACAAGUAUAGUACAAAACCGAAAUCUUGACGUCUUGAUUCAUUCCUUCAACUUGAGGUGAAAGAAUGAAAAAUGUGACGUCGAACACUAAACAUUACCACGGAGUCAUGAUAAGCAAGGACGGACUAACGUAAAUAAAGCAUUUUGAAAAAGAAAAAAAAAUCACCACAAGGCAAUGGAAAUCAACACAAUAAGAGUAGCAAUAGCUUGAUGCCAAACUUCCAAAAUUCAAUAUAUACACAUUUAGUCAUGCUCGGGAACAAAAGGCUAAUAGCUCAAAGAGAACGAGAACUCUAUUUCUUACUGAGAACUAGCGAGAAAACAGAACAAACAAGCAAAUACUACUGUACUAAAAGCAGAAAAUUAAGACUUAAACCAACAAAGGAAGUAUAAAAUCAAUCAGCCAUACCAAACAGCAAACUACAGUCAGAAUAAGAAAAAAAAAAGUAAAAUGAAGAAGUAUACAUUCUUCGGAGCAGCGACUGGACGACAGCGAGCUUGAAAGAGAGCGACUUCUCGCACAACUUUGACUCGAGCAGCAAACCAAGAAAUUCAAAGUAAUUUCAGACGAAACCUUUCUUAGAACUUAGAAUUAGAAAAUCGCUUUAAAAUUUCUUGAAUGUAAAAAUGAGUAUUGUCAAAGAACCAAGCUCUAAAACCUGUCCCAUUCACUUGAGUGUAGAGGGUUAUUUAUAGGGGAAAUAGGGGGUCGAUUUAUGAGGGAAAACGAGUGGGAAAUUGAAUUAGAAAUUCGAAUUCCUUUUUUCCAAAGCCAUCAGUGAAGAGAUUUAGAAAUCCCUGAAAAAAUGGGGAAAUGAGACGUGAGGGCUUGACGUUGAGGCUGCUAGGGUAUGGGUUCUGCAGGGUAGUUGGAUGAGAUUUUUGCAGCGCGAUUUCUGGGUUGCGUGAUUUGGUUCGCUGGCCGAGUUUCUGGGUUUCUGCAUUUGCGCGUGAAAAAGAAGACGUAGGGGUGGGGUAUUGUUGGUAUGUUAUUGCGGCUGUUGGGUUGUAGGCGUAAGGGAAAAGAAGAAGUGAAGUCGGGUCGGUUGAUUGUGGGUGUUGCUGGAAAAGGGGUAUUGAAUUGGAAUUAUUGUUGAGUUGUUGUUUGGAAUGGGCUGGAAUUAUUUGUUGUAUAGGGAAUUAGAAUUGGGCCUUUAGGAAGUGGCCCAAAAAUUGUUUUUUUUUUAAAAAAAAUGGGAUAGGCAAUUGACUAAAACUUGUUAUUAAAUAAUGGAUUUCAAUUAUAGCCUAAUAGAAUUUAAUUGGUGAAUUCGGCUAAAAUUUAAACAAGAUGAGUUAACAUAAAUUAAUUAAUGAACUUCUUAAUCUUAACGAAAUAAAAUAAUUAACUCAAAUAUGAACUAAAUAAUUUAAGAUAUAAACUAUUAUAUAACUAACUAAUUAACCAUAUAUUUAAUUAAAACAAAAUCUUUUUGAGACGAUUUUCGAAUAUUCAUAAAAUAUACUAAUUAUAUACAUAAUUAUGUGAAACAUAUAUAUUAUCUAAAACUUAUAAAAAGUGACAAGACUAUUUAAAACAACUUGCGAACUAUAUUAUUAAUUAUAUUUUUUUGAAAAAUUUCUAAAACUAAUUAUUUUAAAUCGCUUGAAAUUGAAGAAGCUCAAUGAUUAAUUUAUAUUGUGGAGGUCUAAAAUUGGGUGUCAACAAUCGCAAUAGCCGCCGGAGGAAUAGAAUAUAACGAAGAAAAAAAGAGGAAAGGAUUUGGUGGGUGAAUUCAGGAUGAGGUGGGGCUCGACAUUUUCUUUUUUGUUAUCGCCGGAGGAAUCAAUGGUGAAUGGCAAUGGCGGAAUGACAGAAAAGAAGAUGAAGAAGAAAGGGCAAUAGGUUAGAUGGGGUGCGGGGUUAGGUGGAGGUGGGGGGAGAGAUUUUUUUUUUAUCAAUUUAAUUUUUUCUAUAUUAUUAAAGGCUGAAAAUUAUUUUUUAUUUUUCAAAAUUAAAAUUGUGGGCCCAUGUGCUACGUGUCAUAAUUCUAUUCGUGAUUUUGUCAACAUAAUGUGUGUGAAUUACACGCACAAUAUUUUUAAAACUAGUUGUCAUUUUAUGUUCAGUAGAUAAAUAUUCGUUAAUAUUAAAGUGUCUAAAUGAAUUAUGUUGACAACUUUAAAGGACUAUCGAUGACUUAAGCCGUAUAUCCAUUAAUAUCAUGACAAAUAAAAAUGAACGAGACAUUUCUAUGAAAUAUCUUGGAAACAUCCCUUUCAUUUCUGUCAUGCUUCUUUGGGGAUUGUAAAUGACUUGACCCAUUAUUAAUUUUCCAGGAACAAAUAAUACCUGUGGGUAUAUGUAGAAGCUGCUUCACUCAUCUUUCUUUCAUUAUUAAAACAAAAAAAUUAUCUAAAAAUCCCUUAAAAUUAUUGUUAUCAAAUAUGCCUACACAGUUUGUUGUAGGAGAAUUAUCUUCUUCUUCCAACUUGUCUUACGAUGUAUUUCUCAGUUUCAGAGGCGAAGAUACUCGCAAAACCUUCACCGGUCAUCUUUACACCCAAUUGUGUCAAGUCGGAGUUAAUACCUUCAUAGAUGAUGAGGAAUUAAGAAAGGGAGACGUCAUUUCAACCGAACUUGAGAAAGCAAUUGAACAAUCAAGGGUUGCCAUUGUUGUUUUCUCCAAAAAUUACGCUUCCUCUAGUUGGUGUCUUGAUGAACUUGUCAAAAUUCUCGAUUGCAGAGUGAGGUUAAAAGCAGGUAGUUUUGCCUAUUUCUAUGAUGUUGAUCCUUCUCAAGUGCGAAGGCAAACUGGGUCCUUGGUGAAGCUUUGGCAAAACAUAAGGAACGAUUGUUUGGAGCUCAAAGAGUGGAGAAUUGGAAAGUUGCACUGACUGAAGCUGCGAAUUUAUCUGGAUGGGAUUUGCGAAAUGUUGCUGAUGGGUAAGACUUCUUAAUUCAACUAUAAGAUUUUAAAUUUAAGCGUUUGCCUAAUCUUAUAAGUUGGUUAAUUAUGGAAAAUUUCAAAAUAUUUCUAUAGUUUUUAAAUUCCAUGUCAAAUCAAACUACAUCACAUGAAUUGGGACGAGGGAGUAGUAGUAAUGGACAAUCUCCAUUCUCUAACCUCAAUUUCCCUAUUGGCUAUUGUCUGUUGGGUUGGAUUUUGUUUUGUUCAUCAAAUAUUUUCAAAUAUCAAAGUUUCGUUUUUUAAAUUUUAACUUCUGUUAUUGCUGAAAAACCGUAGGCAUGAAUCAAAAUUUAUUGAAAGUAUUAUAAAACAAGUUCUGCAAGAGGCCAACCAGACACCUCUAGAUGUUGCUCAUUACCCAACUUGGAUUAGAUUCUCCUAUCGAGCAUAUAGAGUUGUUACUGCAAAGUGGAUGUGAGCAUGAAGUUCGCAUGGUUGGUAUAUGUGGCGUUUGGUGGAAUUGGAAAAACAACUCUGGCAAAAGCUAUCUACAAUCGAAUAUUUCAACAGUUUGGUGGUAGUUGCUUUCUUUCAGACAUUAGAUCAAAAGCUGAAGAAUUGGGUCUAGUCAAGCUACAAGAAAAAGUACUUUGUCAAAUUCUCAAAACUAAGGAAUUCAAAGUUGAUAGUGUUGCUGAAGGUGUCAAUCUAAUCAAAGCAAGACUUGGGUCAAAGAAGGUUCUAAUUGUUCUUGAUGACGUGGAUCAUAGAAGCCAAUUAGAAUCCUUAACAAGAGAAAGAAGUUGGUUUGGCUCUGGUAGUGUAAUAAUUAUUACAACCCGAGACGAGCAUUUGCUAUAUGGGCUUACAACAAGUGAGAUAUACAGGGCCAAACUUUUAAAUGACAAUGGAGCUCAACAACUUUUUUCUUGUCAUGCUUUUAACAGUCUUUCUCCACCACAUGAAUAUUUUGAGCUGGCCCAAAACAUAAUUAAAUAUUCAGGUGGGCUACCAUUAGCUCUUGUGACAUUGGGGUCACAUUUUCAAGGGAGAUCCGUAGAAGAAUGGAGAAACGAGUUCAAAAAACUAAGAACAAUUCCUCAUUUUGAUAUUCAAAAGAUUCUCCAGAUAAGCUUUGAUGGACUUGAUGAUAAUACUCAGGGUGUUUUCCUUGAUAUUGCAUGCGCCUUCCAUGGAUGUGAUGAGGAUGAAGUUACCAAAACAUUAAACGCCUGUGGUUUUUAUUGUGAAAGUGCAAUUGCAACUCUAGUCAAAAGACACUUGCUCCAAAGGGAUUGGCGUUGUUUGGUGAUGCAUGAUCUUGUGCGGGAUAUGGGAAGAGAAAUUGUUCGCAGGGAAUCACCUCAAGACUCUGGGAAACGGAGUAGAUUGUUCAACCCUCAAGAAGUCCAUGACAUUCUACAAGGAAAUAAAGUAAGUAAAUUUCAUUAUCUUUAUCUUGGUUAUACUUUCUUCUCUUUUUUUUUUUCAUUUAAUUUGAUAUACAUUUGCUUAUAAUUUAGGUUGUCACCACUCACCACAAGAACUCAAUUCAUUUGUGCUUAAUUCUUCUUUGGAUAGUAAAUUAUCUCUAGUUGUUUGCCAACCACUCUCUCCUAAUUUCUCGUACUUUUCUUUUUACUAAAUUACAGGGUUCCGAAAAUAUAGAAGUAUUGGUGUUAGAACGACAUGCAUUAAAGGGUGUGAAGCUGAGCACAAAAGCAUUUCAGAAAAUGAUAAAACUUAGGGUGCUUAAAAUCGACGACUUACAUAUUAGUGGAGAUUUUGAGCUAUUGUCCAAGGAGCUCAGAUGGUUGUCUUGGAAAGGAUGUCCUUUAAAAUGUAUACCAUCAAAUUUUCCAGCUGAGAAACUUGUAAUCCUGAAUAUGAAAGGGAGCAAUAUCGAAGAAUUUGGUUUGAAUUUGCAGGUUCGUUACUCAAUUCUGCAAUUUGAUGUGUACUGUUAUAUUGCAACUACGUGAAGGAAAAUCUUAAUUGAAAUUAUAUUUUGUUUACUUCUUAGUAUUGUAGAAGUUUGAAGGAGCUGAAUCUUUCUAAUUGCAAACACCUCAGAAGUACUCCAAACUUCAGGGGUUCACGAAGUCUUGAAACUUUGUCGCUUGAGAAUUGCUCAAGUCUAAAGAAGAUCCAUCCAUCAAUAGGAAUUUGGAAAGACUAAUUGAUCUUCAAUUGAGUGGUUGCAAAAAGAUUACGGAUCUUCCGAGCAGCAUAUGCCAGCUAAAAUCCCUUGAAUACUUGAACAUUAAUUUCUGCUCAUCUUUACAAACACUGCCAGUUGACAUUGGAGAUAUGCAAAGCCUAACUCAUCUUUGUGCAUGGGGUACGGGUAUAAAACAGUUGCCUGGAUCUGUUGAAAUGUUGAGAAAUCUUAAAAAAUUGCGAGUGGGAGAUGAAACUUUAGAGGCCGAAAGGAGUUUUUCUCGAAGAAGAGUCCGCCGCAUAGAAUCCUUAUCUAAUUUUAUUUCGAAUAUAUGUCUUGCAUACUGUGGUUUCUCUGAGGCUGAUAUUCCUAGGGAUAUUGGGAGAUUAUCCAACUUACAUCAUUUAGAUUUGAGGGGCAACAAUUUCCUCUAUCUACCCUUUGAUUUUUCCAAGUUACCAUUGUUGGUGUUCUUGUAUUUGAAUGAUUGUAAGAAUCUUCAAACACUCCCGUCAAUAUCAAAUUUAGAGAAGCUUAAAAUUCUUUAUCUUAGGAAUUGCCAAAAACUGGUCAAGAUUACAGAUUUGGACAACCUCCCUUCAAUAGAGAGGAUCGACAUGAAUAAUUGUACUUCCCUGCAGAAUCCAUUCAAUGAAGGCUUCUUUAGUACCCCUGCUCUAUCAAUUCCAUCUAGAAAACAUCCACUGCAUCAGGAGGUUAGUCCCUCUCCUUCUCUCUGAUCUCUCUCUCGUAUCACAUUAUUAAUUAAUGAUCUAAUUGUGUCUUAAUUUGUCUGAUGAAGCAGCAGGUACAAAUUUAUCUUGAAAGCAAUGAGAUUCCAGAUUGGUGCAGCAAUAAAGUAACAGCUCCAUCUAUUUGUUUCACUAUGCCCACACUACAUACUAAUGACUAUAAGUUGUUAGGAAUGGUUCUCUGGUUUGUUUGCCACUUUUGCAAUGUACCCAUCCGUCUUCAACACUUUGUUGUUACUGUUGCCCAUAUAAAGCGUUCAGAUUUUUAUUUUAGUUGGGAUACUGAUAAACCUGACAGUGGAGAAGUAUCAUGUGUAUAUUACAUCCCUUGCUCAAACGAUACACCUUUUAAAGGCCUGAACAUCAAAGGCGGGGAACAGAUAAGAGUAGAGGAUCGCACUGGCGGAGCCAUAGUAAAGAAGAUAGGAGUACAUCUGUUAUAUUUAGACCAACAUGGCAAUGUUACUUCUUUCCCGGCAAAAAAAGUAUUAGAAGAAAAGAAGACAAAAAGAAAAAGGAAAAUGAUGUUUGGUGGCAGCCGUGGACGACUAUUGGUGUUCCCCAUUUCCAGAAAAACUUCAGCAAGGCAUAAAAGAGCAAAGUUCUGAUAGUUUUCCUUUGGAUAAAGCUGGGGAAUGAGUGAUGACUGAAUCGACUUUUUUCCAUUUGUAUACUGCUAGUUUCU